Molecule: long non-coding RNA, 3106 nt
Filed under: Homo sapiens (human)
Lineage: Eukaryota; Metazoa; Chordata; Mammalia; Primates; Hominidae
Description: HSALNT0242560
Source: RNAcentral
AUGAAGCAGGGUUAAGAGGAUUCUGUUUUCAGCAAGUAGUGAAUUCCCCAGAAGCUUUUCCCACUUAGUCCGGAUGCAUCCAUACGAUGUGAAGUUGGGCUUAAUUGCUUCGUGUUGGUGGCAGAGCUCUGAAGAUGAGGACUGGCUUUCCUACUGGAGAGCUGGCCCGUGGACCAGGCAUCUAUUGCUGAGGCCAGAUGAAAAUGGGCCAGGGCCUCUGGCCACACGCUGCCACAGCCAAGAGAGAUGGAGCAAAGCCAUGCAGUGUCAACUUAGGUUUGAGAAAGGGGUCAGGUCAAAGUGCUGGAAGGACUCCCCAUCACUGAGUUCCUUGCCAUCAACACAACUGCAGAGCAGAGCAGAAGUGACCACACAUCCAGAGGCCACUGUGGAGGAAACACAGCAUCAGGCCCUUUCAACACUUAGUUAAUCCUCAUGUUGGCCCCAUGGAAUUAUUUUAUUUUCCUACUUUAUACACAGGAAGUCGAAGCUUGGAGAGAUUCUGUGAAUUGGUGAAGGACACAGAGCAAAGCCAGGAUUCAGAUUCAGACCUGCUUGACUCCAAGAUCAUUCCAGAAAUCUCCCUUUUCCUUUGGACCCUGUGACGUGACAGCUGGGUUCUUUCUGCUCUGAUUUCCAUGCCUGACAACCAUUUAAAUGGAAUACAAGAAUGCAGUUUUCUUAGGUUGAAAGAAAUUCACCCUUUAUCAAGAAUUAUUUAUAGUUCCUCUGGAGUGAGAGAGGAAGACAUUACCCACGCAGUGCUCUGUGGAAUCAUCUGAGCCACCACUUCUGCCUUGGGGACAUCAUCUGGGGAAGUAUCUAGAUCCUUUGGCUGAACAACGUGUUUUGAGGUCUUUAAUAUGUCACCUUAAGGAUGAGGCCUAGAGAACAUGGCCUUUUGUUGAACAGUUUGUAAGCUCUCAAAUGUGAGUAAAUGUGAGGAGGGUCUUGAGAGAUAUAGGAAGCUCAAGAAACCUAGCUAGAGUCUCUAGACUGUUGAGAAAAGUGGUGAGAAGAAAUUCCCAUUGUGGGGGAUGGGAGUGGUGGUUCAGGAGGAUUUUUGAGAAUGGGGAUAGAGAGCCUAGAAAUAAGGCCACACACCCAUGGCCAUCUGAUCUUCGACAAAGCAAGCAAUGAGUAAUGGACUCCUUGUUCAAUAAAUGGUGCCGGGUUGACUGAUUAGCCAUAUGCAGAAGAUUGAAACUGGACUCCUUCCUCACACCAUAUACAGAAAUCAACUCAAGAUGGAUUAAAGACUUAAAUGUAAAACCCAGAACUAUAAAAACUCUGGAAGACAACCUAGGCAAUACCACCCUGGAUAUAGGAACGGGCAAAGAUUUCAUGAUGAAGACACUAAAAGCAAUUGCAGCAAAAGCAAAAAUUGACAAAUGUGAUCUGAUUAAACCUAAGAGCUUCUGCACAGCAAAAGAAAUUAUCAACAGAGUAAACAGAGUAAACAACCUAUAGAAUAGGAGAAAAUAUUUGCAGACUAAGUAUCCAACAAAGGUCUCAUAUCCAGCAUCUAUAAGGAACUUAAACAAAUUUAUAAGAAAUAACUAACAAUUCCAACAAAAAGUGGGCAAAGUAUAUGAACAGACACUUUGCUAAAGUAGACAUAUAUGUGGCCAACAAGCAAAUGAAAAAAAGCUCAAUAUCAUGAUCAUUAGAGAAAUGCAAAUCAAAGCCACAAUAAGAUAUAUCAUCUCACACCAGUCAGAAUGGCUAUUAUUAAAAAGUCAAAAAAUAACCGAUGGCUGGUAAAGUUGCAGAGAAAAGGAAAUACUUAUACACUGUUAGUUGGAGUUUAAAUUAGUUCAACCAUUAUGGAAAGCAGUGUGGUGAUUCCUCAAAGAGCUAAAAACAGGACUACCAUUUGACCCAGCAAACCUAUUACUGGGUAUAUGCCCAGAGGAAUAGAAAUCAUUCUACCAUAAAAACAUGUGCAACAAAUGUUCAUUGUAGCACUAUCCAAAAUAGCAAAGACAUGGAAUCAACCUAAAUGUCCAUCAAUGACAGAUUGGAUAAAAAAUGUAGUACAUAGGUCCCAUGGAAUACUAUGCAACCAUAAGAAAGAACAAGAUCAUGUCUUUUGCAGGAACAUGAUGGAGCUGGAGGCCAUUAUCCUUAGCAAACUAAUGCAGAAACAGAAAACUAAAUAGUGCAUGCUCUUACUCAUAAGAGGGAGCUAAAUGAGGAGACAUCAUGAAUACAAAGAGGGGAACAACAGACACUGGGACCUCUUUGAGGGUGGAGGGUAGGAGGAGGGAGAGGAGCAGAAAAACAUUAAUCUUGUUGUACAGAUUAUUUUGUCACCCAGGUACUAAAUGUGGUACUAUUGGGUACCCUACCACUGUUUUAUCAAACAAGUUUCUGUAAUAGUAUAAAUCCUUUGUUGUCAUUACAACAAUGUUCAUGGCAUCUUCACCAGGAGUAAAUCUCAUCUCAAGAAACCACUUUUUUUGCUUAUCCAUAAGAAGCAACUCCUCAUCUAUUCAAAUUUGAUCAUGAGAUUGCAGCAAUCUGGUCACAUCUUCAGGUUCACUCUAAUUCAAGUUCUCUUGCUGUUUCUACCACAUCCACAGUUACUUCCUUCACUGAAAUUUUGAACCUGUCAAAAUUUGGUACCUUACUGUUGUGUACCAGGUUUAGUACCUGGGUGACAAAAUAAUCUGUACAACAGACCCCCCGUGAUACCAGUUAACCUAGGUAACAAACCUGCACAUGUACUCCUGAACCUGAAAUAAAAAAAAAAAAAAUGGGAAUUUUUAGGUUACAAGUUCUUUUUCUGUGAAAUAAGUCCCCAGCCAUUGCAUCAAAUACUCAGUAAAUCCUUCUAGCAAUAUGGGAGUGAUUUGGGCAAAAUCAGAAGAAACCCACAAAAACUCUGUUGCACAUCAUUGUGCUGAACCUCUAUUAAUCUCAGUAGGGAAGACACCAGGCUCAAGAGGCCAAAGAAGACACUCAGAGCCAGUAAAUGAGACAUGGGGUCUUAUUAGGGGCUUCCACACAAGGGAGACAGUGCAGCGACAGCGGGCUGGACAAGAUAACCACAGGGCCCAGUAGCUGCGGGCUGGAGAGGAAAACCACAACUGCCUGCAAAUGU